AUGUGGUCAGUGCAGCCUGGUCUCCGCAACAGUUCUAUUCUAGCAGGAUUAAUUGUAAUGGAAUUUAUUUUUAAUUUUAAAAUCUUAGGUACCAGAUGUGACAUUGGGAUGACCCAGACACCAGCCUCCCUGUCCGGAUCUCUGGGAGAAAGUGUCACCAUCACAUGCCGGGCAAGCCAGGACAUUGGCAAAAGUUUAUUAUGCUAUCAGCAGAAAACCGGGAAACCCCCUAAGAUUCUGAUCUAUACUGCAUCCAACUUGGCAGAUGGGAUUUCAUCAAGGUUCAGUGGCAGUGGAUCAGGUACACAGUUUUUUCUCAAGAUCAGCUGCCUGAAGCCUGAAGACACUGCAACCUAUUACUGUGGUCAGGGUUACUGGUUAUUCCCACAGAGGUUCAAACCAUGA
Mus pahari (shrew mouse) is the source of this 405-nucleotide non-coding RNA. NCBI's taxonomy places the organism in Eukaryota, Metazoa, Chordata, Mammalia, Rodentia, Muridae. The record is from the annotation of a RefSeq genome assembly.